GGGCGCUUAGCUCAGUUGGUAGAGCGUCAGCCUUACAAGCUGAAUGUCAGUGGUUCGAGCCCACUAGCGCCCACCA
RNAcentral lists this transfer RNA (76 nucleotides) under Bdellovibrionales bacterium. RNAcentral's name for it is "tRNA-Val". It matches the Rfam family "tRNA". From Rfam's summary of the family: Transfer RNA (tRNA) molecules are approximately 80 nucleotides in length. Lineage: Bacteria; Pseudomonadati; Bdellovibrionota; Bdellovibrionia; Bdellovibrionales. The record is from RNAcentral.